Taeniopygia guttata (zebra finch) is the source of this 594-nucleotide non-coding RNA. The record is from RefSeq and is a predicted model, not a curated record. NCBI's taxonomy places the organism in Eukaryota, Metazoa, Chordata, Aves, Passeriformes, Estrildidae.
CGGCAUUCCUCAGGUUUUUGUGAUGCCAUGACUGCUGGAAUUUCCCUCUGGUUGCUAACAACAUGCAGGCUAAAGCUGUCAGUAAGUCACUAAAUUCACCCCCCAAAAGGAUGAUCAUUUUAGAGCUGUUUGCUUCAGGAAUCCAGUAUCACUUGUCCUGGGGAAGUGACAGCCACUCAGACAUAAGAAGUAUAUUCUCCUUAAGGUACAAGAAAAGCAACACUUUCAGAAGAAUGUAAUGCCAGAGACAGGCUAUACCAAGGCUACAGAACUCAAGUGCAGCUACAAGUUUAAAAGUGGGGUUGUUUGUGAUUUUUUUGUUGUUGUUGCACUUGUAGUUUCUUUUGUUUGUUUUUUUUGUGGGUUUUUUUAGCUAUUAGUACAAGAAACUCAAGCAUUAAAAAUACAGCCCUUUACUUCAUGGAAAGGAAAGAAGACCUAGGCAGAACAGUCUUAGGAGUCAUGAUCCCACACUCCAUUCCCAGUUUGACCACUGAUUUACUUGGAUCUUGAGGCUCAACAUCUCUCUGUGAAUGCACUUGACACUCUUAAUAAAAAAAGGAAACCAAAAAUAUUUCCUGAACGCGAGUUUUA